UACGGAGGGGGCGAGCGUUAUUCGGAAUUAUUGGGCGUAAAGGGCGCGUAGGCGGCCUUGUAAGUCAAAGGUGAAAUCCCUCGGCUCAACUGAGGAACUGCCUUUGAAACUGCAAGGCUUGAGGCCGGGAGGGGGUAGCGGAAUUCCCAAUGUAGCGGUGAAAUGCGUAGAUAUUGGGAGGAACACCAGUGGCGAAGGCGGCUACCUGGACCGGUUCUGCCGCUGAGGCGCGAAAGCGUGGGUAGCAAACAGG
Molecule: ribosomal RNA, 253 nt
Filed under: uncultured bacterium
Lineage: Bacteria
Description: partial 16S ribosomal RNA
Rfam family: Bacterial small subunit ribosomal RNA
Source: RNAcentral